Molecule: non-coding RNA, 29 nt
Filed under: Mus musculus (house mouse)
Lineage: Eukaryota; Metazoa; Chordata; Mammalia; Rodentia; Muridae
Source: RNAcentral
UCUAAUAUUUUCCCUGCUUUCUACAAGGU